UACGUAGGGGGCAAGCGUUGUCCGGAUUUACUGGGCGUAAAGAGCGUGUAGGCGGCCACGCAGGUCCGUUGUGAAAACUGGAGGCUCAACCUUCAGACGUCGACGGAAACCGUGUGGCUAGAGUCCGGAAGAGGAGAGUGGAAUUCCUGGUGUAGCGGUGAAAUGCGCAGAUAUCAGGAAGAACACCCGUGGCGAAGGCGGCUCUCUGGGACGGUACUGACGCUGAGACGCGAAAGCGUGGGGAGCGAACAGG
This 253-nucleotide ribosomal RNA is filed under the name uncultured bacterium. RNAcentral describes it as "partial 16S ribosomal RNA". It matches the Rfam family "Bacterial small subunit ribosomal RNA", at positions 524 to 776 of the family's 1533-position model. The record is from RNAcentral.